Molecule: transfer RNA, 98 nt
Filed under: Binatia bacterium
Lineage: Bacteria; Candidatus Binatota; Binatia (SeqCode)
Description: tRNA-Ala
Source: RNAcentral
GGGGCUGGACCGCCCCUAUCGGUAGUUGUAGGAGGCUCUCGUCUUGACAGGACCGAAUGGCAUUCAAGAGGUCGAGAGUUCGAUUCUCUUCGGCUCCA